RNAcentral lists this ribosomal RNA (497 nucleotides) under uncultured bacterium. RNAcentral's name for it is "partial 16S ribosomal RNA". It matches the Rfam family "Bacterial small subunit ribosomal RNA", at positions 28 to 523 of the family's 1533-position model. The record is from RNAcentral.
GAUGAACGCUGGCGGCGUGCUUAACACAUGCAAGUCGAACGAAGCACCUUAUUCUGAUUUCUUCGGAAUGAAAAAUUUGGUGACUGAGUGGCGGACGGGUGAGUAACGCGUGGGUAACCUGCCUCAUACAGGGGGAUAACAGUUAGAAAUGACUGCUAAUACCGCAUAAGACCACAGCACCGCAUGGUGCAGGGGUAAAAACUCCGGUGGUAGGAGAUGGACCCGCGUCUGCUUAGGUAGUUGGUGGGGUAACGGCCUACCAAGCCGACGAUCAGUGGCCGGACUGAGAGGGUGACCGGCCACAUUGGGACUGAGAUACGGCCCAAACUCUUACGGGAGGCAGCAGUGGGGAAUAUUGCACAAUGGGGGAAACCCUGAUGCGGCGACGCCGCGUGAGCGAUGAAGUAUUUCGGUAUGUAAAGCUCUAUCAGCAGGGAAGAAAAUGACGGUACCUGACUAAGAAGCACCGGCUAACUACGUGCCAGCAGCCGCCGUAA